Molecule: ribosomal RNA, 504 nt
Filed under: uncultured bacterium
Lineage: Bacteria
Description: bacterial SSU rRNA
Rfam family: Bacterial small subunit ribosomal RNA
Source: RNAcentral
AACGAACGCUGGCGGCGUGGAUUAGGCAUGCAAGUCGAACGAGAAUUCUGGUGUAGCAAUACAUCGGGAGGACAGUGGCGGAAGGGUGAGUAACGCGCGGGCAAUCUGCCCUUAAGCUGGGGAUAACAUUCCGAAAGGAGUGCUAAUACCGAAUAUGGUCGCUCCGGGCAUCCGGGGCUAUCUAAAGAUGGGGACCGUAAGGCCUGUCACUUAAGGAUGAGCCCACGUACUAUCAGCUAGUUGGUGAGGUAACGGCCCACCAAGGCUAUGACGGUUAGCUGGUCUGAGAGGAUGGUCAGCCACACUGGGACUGAGACACUGCCCAGACUCCUACGGGAGGCUGCAGUCGAGGAUCAUUCGCAAUGGGGGAAACCCUGACGGUGCGACGCCGCGUGCAGGAUGAAGGCCUUCGGGUCGUAAACUGCUGUCAUGAGGGAGCAACGAUUCCGUGGUAAUACUACCGGGAAGUGAUAGUACCUCAGAAGAAGCCCGGCUAACUCUGUG